GGCCAGCGUGGCAUAGUGGUUGGAUUGUUGGACUGCAACUCGAGAUCAGGGUUUGAUUCCCUGCUUGGCCA
Molecule: non-coding RNA, 71 nt
Organism: Phrynosoma platyrhinos (Desert horned lizard)
Lineage: Eukaryota; Metazoa; Chordata; Lepidosauria; Squamata; Phrynosomatidae
Source: the annotation of a GenBank genome assembly